This 253-nucleotide unclassified non-coding RNA is filed under the name uncultured Gemmatimonadota bacterium. Its description in RNAcentral is "uncultured Gemmatimonadetes bacterium contains 16S-23S intergenic spacer region". It matches the Rfam family "Bacterial small subunit ribosomal RNA", at positions 524 to 776 of the family's 1533-position model. The record is from RNAcentral. Lineage: Bacteria; Pseudomonadati; Gemmatimonadota.
GACAGAGGGUGCUAGCGUUGUUCGGAAUUACUGGGCGUAAAGCGCGCGCAGGCGGUUUGCCAAGUCGGAAGUGAAAUCCCGGGGCUCAACCCCGGGGCUGCUCCCGAAACUGGCAGACUGGAGACCGGUAGAGGCUGGUGGAAUUCCUGGUGUAGCGGUGGAAUGCGUAGAUAUCAGGAAGAACACCCGUGGCGAAGGCGGCCAGCUGGGCCGGGUCUGACGCUGAGGCGCGAAAGCGUGGGGAGCAAACAGG